AUGAACGCUAGCGACAGGCCUAACACAUGCAAGGUCGAGGGGCAGCACAAGGAGCAAUCUGAGGUGGCGACCGGCGCACGGGUGAGUAACACGUAUGCAACCUGCCUGUAAGCGGGGAAUAACCCGUUGAAAGACGGACUAAUACCGCAUAAUACUAAAUUACUGCAUGGUAAUUUAUUUAAACAUUUAUGGCUUACAGAUGGGCAUGCGCAUGAUUAGCUAGUUGGAGAGGUAACGGCUCCCCAAGGCAACGAUCAUUAGGGGUUCUGAGAGGAAGGUCCCCCACACUGGUACUGAGACACGGACCAGACUCCUACGGGAGGCAGCAGUGAGGAAUAUUGGUCAAUGGACGAGAGUCUGAACCAGCCAAGUCGCGUGCAGGAAGAAUGUCCCUAUGGAUUGUAAACUGCUUUUGCAGGGGAAUAAAGUGCAUCACGUGUGAUGUUUUGUAUGUACUCUGCGAAUAAGGAUCGGCUAACUCCGUGCCAGCCGCCGC
Molecule: ribosomal RNA, 496 nt
Filed under: uncultured bacterium
Lineage: Bacteria
Description: bacterial SSU rRNA
Rfam family: Bacterial small subunit ribosomal RNA
Source: RNAcentral